RNAcentral lists this transfer RNA (2547 nucleotides) under Salmo salar (Atlantic salmon). RNAcentral's name for it is "lncRNA (ENSSSAG00000102895.1)". The stretch from base 2407 to 2464 matches the Rfam family "tRNA", at positions 8 to 63 of the family's 71-position model. The record is from RNAcentral. Lineage: Eukaryota; Metazoa; Chordata; Actinopteri; Salmoniformes; Salmonidae.
UGCCCCUCUAACCACUAGGCUACCUGCCCCUCUAACCACUAGGCUACCUGCCCCUCUAACCACUAGGCUACCUGCCCCUCUAACCACUAGGCUACCUGCCCCUCUAACCACUAGGCUACCUGCUGCUCUAACCACUAGGCUACCACCCGCCCCAACGCUCUAACCACUAGGCUACCACCCGCCCCAACGCUCUAACCACUAGGCUACCUGCUGCUCUAACCACUAGGCUACCACCCGCCCCAACGCAUAGUCAGAACUACCCGUCUGAUUAUUCCACAUUUAGCUCUGAGUUAUACGGUAAGUAACUACAUGCUGUUCAUGAUCAGUAACAUCAGUUGAUCAUGUAGUUUCAGAUACCUGAGGGUGGCCUAUCCAUUUGGCAUGUAGCUAACUAAGCAAACCUUUCAUUUAGUUGGCUUCAUCAGAGAUGAGGCUUUUGGAAAGACCUUGACAUCAGCAAGUCCUCGUCCUGGUGAAGUGGUCAGUUGGACUUCUGUCAUCACCACUAUAGAUGGCAAGCUAAUCAAGUUCAAGUUUAUCCCCAGGAAGUUAGCUCGUUAACCAGCCCAUAUUGACCCGAUCUGUUAUUAGCUAGCUAGCCAAUUUGACGUGAUCCAUCAAUCAAUGAAGCCCAUCUAUAAUUUCUGUCAGCAGCAAUAGUGACUAAACACUUAAAAAAAACAAUGUUGAGAAGUGGAUAAUGUUAGCUAACUUUGCUAGGUAGGCCUACGUUGGUUGGAGAAAGAAGUACAGUAGGUCUAUUUACCUCUGUUUAGCCUGUAACAAGUUUAUACCGGUAGCUUGUAAAUAUUAUCAGCUAACUACAUUGGUAAAAUGAGCCCUUCUGCUGCUUGACAGGAAGAGCCCACAAAGGACAGGAAAUGAACCUAAACCACUCAUUCUUGUCGGGUAUAGUUUACUUUUAUAUCACUCAAAUAUCCAAUCAAUGGUGGCCAAUAUUGAGAGAGAUCGUCAGGCUACGUAUCUGAAAUGGCCAUGAACAGCAUGCAGUUACUGCUGUAUAACUGAUACAGCAGAAUGUGGAAAUAUCUGACAUUUGUAUUUCUAUGCUCUUCCAGAGGUGACGACACCAAACGCUCUGCACCUUAUUGUGACGUUUUACUGAUAACCUAUUCUAAACAUUCUAGCCAGUCCAAGGGUCGUUCCAUGAAAUGAGUGCCCUAUGAUUAUUUUAAGUAGAAAUAGUGUGCAAAUAUUGAAUUUUAAAAGCCUGUUAUAUUAAAUGAAAUGCCCUUUAAAACCCACUGGGCACAGACGUCCAUUCAAUGUCUAUUCCACAUUAGUAACCCAUACAUGACUUCUCUAUGGAAAGGGGAGACCCUGAAGGUAACCCAUACAUGACUUCUCUAUGGAAGGGGAGACUCUAAAGGUAACCCAUACAAACCAAUGGAAGUAUGGAGAUACUUUUGUGGCCACAAAAGUAAGGGGUUAAAUAUGUCCUGAGCUUUCUUAUAUCUCCUAGACAUGGGACAGACACUUCAAAACCUUAUUCCUUAUGAUUUAUUUUUGGACUGUCUUUUUUUCCAUUUAUGAAUGCGUAAUUCAAUACAUUUCUAUGGGCUAUAGUAGUAAAUAUUUCAUUUCGAUACCUAAAGGGGUCCUAAAAUUCAAAAUGAAAUAGCUAAAUCAUCCAUUGUAUGAACAUCUUAAAACAAUUCCAUAUGUUAGCUUAGUUUUUUUUUCUUUAACCUCUUGAGAUGGGUUAAUGUGUUUUUAUUUUAAUUUUUUUAUUAACAGAAUGUUAAUGAAUGACAGAAUGUUAAAAUUAGGUGAAACAAUUAUUUAUUUAUUUUACACUUUUCAAAAGGAACCCAAUUCGUCGAACGACCCCUAAACUUUCUAAACGUUCUAAAUGAUCUAAACAUCCACUAAAAAACCAAAACACUUUGGAACGGUCUGAAUUGUCAGCCAAAUAUUCAGGAGAGACUUGGUGCUUUUGUUUUUGUCAGAUGGGUUACAAGAGCGAGGAUCUGUCUUUGAUUAUUUUCAGUGUGUUUUGAGUUUGGAGAAUUACCUGUCAAGUGCAUGUGUGUCCUUAAGAGCAGCAGUUUAACAUCAGCACUACCCCACACAACUCCUGUAACAUCUCACAAUAUCUCCAGUUUAUCUCUGCUCCAUGAUCACUAGCAUGUUAUCAUUCCAGAAGAGGAGACUUUUUAACUUUGAGCAUUUUAGUUUUCUCUGUCACAUGGAGUAAAUUAUAAUUCCCCUCUCUAAUUAAUGUUAAUGGAAGCCAUGAAGAUUCAGGCUGAGUGUCAGGAAGAGCCAGGAGGUGUCCGGACCGUGACAAAGUGAUGUUAACAGCCUGCCAGUUUCACUAAACACUCCUGUUAUAUAUCUGUCCUGUAUCUUCUAUUGUUAUCAGACACACUACAGCCUUCCCUGUAGCUCAGUUGGUAGAGCAUGGUGUGUGCAACACCAGGGUUGUGGGUUCGAUUCCCACGGGGGGCCUGCACACAAAAAAAAAAAGAAAAAAAAGGAUGAAAUGUAUGUAUUCACUACUGUAAGUUGCUCUGGAUAAGAGCG